Long non-coding RNA from Dendronephthya gigantea, 301 nucleotides. RefSeq lists it as uncharacterized. Lineage: Eukaryota; Metazoa; Cnidaria; Anthozoa; Malacalcyonacea; Nephtheidae. The record is from RefSeq and is a predicted model, not a curated record. The transcript has 3 exons.
CUCACCCGGUUUUGAUAUAAGAUUUAGUGACAGUGAAAAAUCAUCUCCUCUCAUGAUUCAGAGGCAAAAAAUCUUUCGUGUAAUCUUUUGCCACACGAUACGCCGUUAGCAUAUGUACCAAGUAGGAGCCCAAAAAAAGUCUAGAGAGCUUUACAAUACGAUUCAACCGAUAGCAGUGUAAAAAAUGAUUCGGAGGAAUUAGCUCGAGACUGGUUUGUGAAGUUUUGAAUUCAAGUUGCAUUACUGGAAAGGUACAUAUACCACGACCUGGCAACCCUUUAUGGUUACGAGCAAAGAUGGU